UCUGAGCUGUCCUGCAGCAGUCACUGUCGCCCAUCUGAAAAAGUUCAUCGUGCUGAAGUUCGAUCUAUCACAGAACAUAAAGGUGGAGAUCUAUCACUGUGACGAAUCGCUGAAGGACGAGUAUGCCCUUAUGGACGUCGCCUACAUCUACUCGUGGAGGCGGAGGGGACCAUUGCAGCUGUUGUUCAGCGUGCAUGAGUACCAGCCGGCACGCAAGCGUCUGAAGACAGACAGCGAUGGCGUGCCGACGGCGACGCGCACUGAUCCUUCCGACCUUCACAAGAAUGGCUUCGGCGUCAACGGUGGCUUCGCGUCACAGCUCGUCACCAAGAAGUCGG
Priapulus caudatus is the source of this 338-nucleotide long non-coding RNA. RefSeq lists it as uncharacterized. The transcript has 3 exons. NCBI's taxonomy places the organism in Eukaryota, Metazoa, Priapulida, Priapulimorpha, Priapulimorphida, Priapulidae. The record is from RefSeq and is a predicted model, not a curated record.